UUCGAUUAGGAAGAACAUUAUCAUCCGGUAGCAUUUCUCUCAUAAGGGCCAACAACUCUGUGAAACUUUUAUCCGACCAUCCAUUACCCGCCUUUAAGUUGUACAACUUUAAUACCGCAGAAAGUCUUGAGAAUUUAGUGCAACCUUUGUACAACGGUUUCUCAGCAUCGCUUACCAUCCUCUCAAACAUUUCAGGAAAUCAUGAAGAUCUUCUUCCAGUGCUUCUACAAUCUCUUCAACUCGAUCACAAUCGUAUGUUUCCGUGUCUUUGUCGUAUGAAGCAUAGGUCGUACUACUUU
This 299-nucleotide long non-coding RNA is filed under the name Lathyrus oleraceus (garden pea). RNAcentral's name for it is "Pisum sativum (pea) long non-coding RNA (PSAT_LNC023226)". The record is from RNAcentral. Lineage: Eukaryota; Viridiplantae; Streptophyta; Magnoliopsida; Fabales; Fabaceae.